Molecule: transfer RNA, 95 nt
Rfam family: tRNA
About the family: Transfer RNA (tRNA) molecules are approximately 80 nucleotides in length. Their secondary structure includes four short double-helical elements and three loops (D, anti-codon, and T loops).
Source: Rfam
UCUUCCGUAGUAUAGUGGUCAGUAUGUGAGCUUGUCAACGGCCACCGGCCAACAAGACUUCGCUCGAGACCCGGGUUCAAUUCCCGGCGGGAGAG